GGUAGUGUAGAAUCUAGGUGUAGCUUCAAAAAGACGGAAAUCUGAAGCGUUGACAUCGAAGGGGUCACAGGUUCAAUCCCUGUCACUCCCACCA
This 94-nucleotide transfer RNA is filed under the name Alphaproteobacteria bacterium. Its description in RNAcentral is "tRNA-Leu". Lineage: Bacteria; Pseudomonadati; Pseudomonadota; Alphaproteobacteria. The record is from RNAcentral.